This 801-nucleotide long non-coding RNA is filed under the name Calidris pugnax (ruff). RNAcentral describes it as "lncRNA (ENSCPUG00000016896.1)". Lineage: Eukaryota; Metazoa; Chordata; Aves; Charadriiformes; Scolopacidae. The record is from RNAcentral.
UUCUCACAUAAAAUUGAUUAUUUUUUCAUCUGCUUCAAACAAUCAAUUAAGAAAAAUUUUUAAGAAACAAAAAAAAUAAAUUGAAACUACUUUUUUUUUUCCAGCCUAUGGCUCCUUCAACAAAAUCACACUUCUGAAGAUGUCCAAGAGACUGUCCCACCACAGAGCAGCAAUUCUGAAUCUGAAGUCAAGCCAGCAGAAGCUCAGUUCAGCUAUCUUCACUGGAAGCUUAUACAGAUGUAAGGCAUCACAGCGGUGACACUUCCACUGAAGUCUUCCCAGAUAACAUAAUUCAUAGAUUAAUCUCCAGUGAAGUUUCCUGAAGAAGGGAUGCAUCCAAGCUCCCAAACCGUGGUGCGAGUUUGGGGAGUCACGCUGAGUCACCUGCCUGCAGGUGGGUCUGAAAAAAGGAAGCACCCAAAACCAGACCGAACUCAAACUGUGCUGAAGGGAUUAAAGCCCGGAGUUUGGGGUGCCCAGCCUGUAGCUCUGCCUGCCCCGCCUCGAGGAGCUCUGGAGCACACCAGUUGCCCUCGCUGAGUCCCGCCAUGCUGAGGGCAAAGCACAAGGCGUUUGCAAUCAGAGCACACGAGUGGGCAUUCAGCCUCAGAUUUACUGAAGACGGCGGCGUAACAAGAGAAAAAGGAGAGAGGACACCCUGAGAUGUGGAUGGCUCUGCUUUGUGGACAGUCACAGCGUCAGGAAAUGGAGGUAUGAGUAAAGACUUUUGGGCAGGUUCACAGAUCCUGUUUGUCACAAAACCAUUGCUUUGGAGUCUUAGUAAACCGGGUGUCCUGAUUC